RNAcentral lists this ribosomal RNA (248 nucleotides) under uncultured Muribaculaceae bacterium. Its description in RNAcentral is "partial 16S ribosomal RNA". It matches the Rfam family "Bacterial small subunit ribosomal RNA", at positions 524 to 771 of the family's 1533-position model. Lineage: Bacteria; Pseudomonadati; Bacteroidota; Bacteroidia; Bacteroidales; Muribaculaceae. The record is from RNAcentral.
UACGAAGGGUGCAAGCGUUGUUCGGAAUUACUGGGCGUAAAGGGCAUGUAGGCGGAUAUCUUAGUCAGGAGUGAAAUCCCGGGGCUCAACCUCGGAACUGCUUUUGAAACGGGAUAUCUAGAGUGUGAUAGGGGACAAUGGAAUACCCAGUGUAGAGGUGAAAUUCGUAGAUAUUGGGUGGAACACCAGAGGCGAAGGCGAUUGUCUGGGUCACAACUGACGCUAAGGUGCGAAAGCGUGGGGAUCAA